AUGGCAGGGAACACAAGGCUGAUUCCAUCCUGCUGGAGGUUCUGGAGUUCUGGAGGUCACCCUGCUCUGGAGUCCACCGCACAUAUAUCCAGGAGCAGCACCCUGCCGGUGGGGAGGAAACGCGGGGGAUGCCCGGUCCCGGCCAGCGCCUCUCCCAGCCCGGUCGCUUGGUGCCAUCUAGUGACCGCCGCGAGGGACCGAGCGGCUCGGAUCGGCUUGGCACGGCUCGUCAAUACACGGCACUGCUCGCCUUGGCUCGGCAGCAUAGGCACAAGCAUUGCCUACAGACUAGGUGGCGGGGGAGGAAGGCAAAACAGCCCAGCACCGCGUUCAGCUACUAGGAGUCCUUUCUCUGCAUGUCUGACACUGGAACAAAAGAGGCUGCCGUCCCUCCUCCCAGCCAUGGCUGACAACCUAUGACAGACUAUCUGGCAAGCUGCAGAUCCAUUACGGGCUUACUGGGAAGGCUCAGGAGACAUCUAUGAUGCCACUUUCAGGCAGGGCCCUACACCUGCUAAAAGGAUGGAUAAUUCCCAAUCGGGAUCCUUGGUGAAAUGCCCUCCUGGGGCUUCUGUAUGUUUUAUUUAGUAUUUUCAUGUCAAGUUGCUCAAAUGACUGUACAAGGACAUGAAGCAUGUCUCUAUCUCUUGAGGGACACAUCUCCUGAUAUUACCAUUCAAAGCCCAUCAAGCUGUCCUGUCUUUCAAACAUAGCUCAUCUCUCAGCUGGUGAUGAAGGGUAACCUCUUUUGGCACUUUUUUCAUCUGAUCUGGACAACCCUGGAAUACGCAUGAGUUAACUUCCUGCAGCUCUGCAUCCUGAUUGACACUUGGAUGCAUCAACUGGAUCCUCCCCUCAAGAUAUGAAGACCUUGUCAUGUGUUGACAGACCUAAUUGUUCCACAGAGUAUCUUGAGUUUUACUCUGAAAGAACUGCUUUUCCUUGGCCAGCACAAUUAACAUGUGCGAUGGCUUUUCUGGCUAAAACUCUGACUAAUAUUCAAAGUUUUUCUCACCUGAGAAGUCAGGCAAGUGCAACAAAAUAGCUAAACAAAACAACUGCAAAGUAAUAUUAGUCUAUUAGUUCUCCAAGUUUUUUUUGUUGUUGUUGUUAUUACUAUUUUAAGGGUCUUCAAGCUUGCCACUGAGGAUUCAGAAGGAUAAGUCAAGUAUCUAGGCCUAAGUUUCCAGAAGUAUCUCUAGUUUUGAUUUGCUUGAUUUUUAGAUAGUCCUGUACUAUUAGGCUUUGAUAAGGCUUUGACCACCACUGGAUUCAAUGGAAAGAAGACUUAGGUCAAAAACAGUAACCAUCACAGAUGGCUAAGAUAUCCAUGCUUCCAAUUACCUCAGCACUAAACUAUGCUGAGACGAAUUGCAAAAAGCAUUUAAACACCCUAAAAUAUGCAGUUGCAACAAAUAAACCCACUUAAAACCCACUCUGCCCA
RNAcentral lists this long non-coding RNA (1444 nucleotides) under Anas platyrhynchos platyrhynchos (common mallard). RNAcentral describes it as "lncRNA (ENSAPLG00000018714.1)". Lineage: Eukaryota; Metazoa; Chordata; Aves; Anseriformes; Anatidae. The record is from RNAcentral.